CUCAGGACGAACGCUGGCGGCGUGCUUAACACAUGCAAGUCGAACGGGGAUAUACUGGAGGAGAGCUUCGGCAGGAAUCGGGUAUAUUCGAGUGGCGGACGGGUGAGUAACGCGUGAGCAACCUGUCCCAGACAGGGGGAUAACACUUGGAAACAGGUGCUAAUACCGCAUAAGACCACGGGAUCACAUGGUUCUGGGGUAAAAGGAGCAAUCCGGUUUGGGGUGGGCUCGCGUCCGAUUAGAUAGUUGGUGAGGUAACAGCCCACCAGUCGACGAUCGGUAGCCGACCUGAGAGGGUGAUCGGCCACAUUGGAACUGAGAGACGGUCCAAACUCCUACGGGAGGCAGCAGUGGGGAAUAUUGGGCAAUGGGCGAAAGCCUGACCCAGCAACGCCGCGUGAGUGAAGAAGGCCUUCGGGUUGUAAAGCUCUGUUAUAGUUGACGAAGGAAGUGACGGUAGGCUAUAAGGAAGCCCCGGCUAACUACGUGCCAGCCGCGGC
This 500-nucleotide ribosomal RNA is filed under the name uncultured bacterium. Its description in RNAcentral is "bacterial SSU rRNA". It matches the Rfam family "Bacterial small subunit ribosomal RNA", at positions 23 to 518 of the family's 1533-position model. The record is from RNAcentral.